Molecule: long non-coding RNA, 902 nt
Organism: Homo sapiens (human)
Lineage: Eukaryota; Metazoa; Chordata; Mammalia; Primates; Hominidae
Exons: 3
Source: RefSeq, marked validated
GGUCCUGGUGUGCAGCCGCUAACUGCUCUGGCCCCGGGGCCAGCUCUCCAGCUGAAUCUGUGUCCAGGAAUGGAACCAAAGUCUCGGUCAAAGUCUCAGUCGAUUCCUGAGGCGGAGCUGACAUCUGGGAGGAAGCAGAGGACCCCAGGUGAGGAAGCCAUGGUUUAAAGCAGAGAUCACCAACUGCUGGACCACAGACCUGCACGAGUUCACGGCCUGUUAGGAACCGAGCCACACAGCAGGAGCACAUGCUCCUCUGCAGAAAGUGAUGGGGCUGCCUUGCCAGCUGGAGCCUGAAACUGUGCCCAGGUAGACAGAACUGCGAGUCCCAGGACAGCCUGGGAAGUGUUGGCUGCCUGGUAAUGGAAGAAUGUCCAGGAUGGAAAACAAGAGGCUGGAUCUGCAAAUGACAUUGUAUUUCAGGGGUCUGCUUUCCUGGUCUGCCCCUCCCCACCUCUGUAGCUCCCUCACAGUGACAGCAGAGCUGUGAACCCAGGAACAAACCCCACCAUUGCCCCUGUCCUCUCUCAUCUCUACUUUCCACAUUGAAAAAUAAUAAAAGAGGCCAGGCAUGGUGGCUCAAAACAGCUAUAAUACCAGCACUAGGAUGCCAAGAUGAGAGAAUGGCUUGAGGCCAGGAGUUCAAGACCUGCCUGAGCAACAUAGAGAGACCCACCCCCCAGUCUCUGCAAAAGCUAAAAAUUAGCUGAGCAUGGUGGGAUGCACUUGAAGUCCCAGCUACUUGGAGGCUAAGUCAGGAGGAUCACUUGAGCCCAGAAGGUUGAGGCUGUAAUGAACCAUGAUUGUGCCACUGCAUUCCAGCCUGGGUGACAGAGUGAUAUCCUGUCUCUAAAAAAUAAAUAAGGUAAUAAUAAUAAAAUAAAUGCCCUCCAGGAGUUUCA